Molecule: small RNA, 494 nt
Filed under: Pongo abelii (Sumatran orangutan)
Lineage: Eukaryota; Metazoa; Chordata; Mammalia; Primates; Hominidae
Description: processed transcript
Source: RNAcentral
CUUGGACCGCAGGGAGGGCAACCGAAUGGCAGAGGCGGUAACGGAGAGCAUCCCUGAACGGCCAGAAACGCGAAAUGCUGUCGGCCUUCCAGAGGCUGUUCCGAGUCUUAUUUGUGAUUGAAACAGUCUCGGAAUGCGGAGUCCUGAUCUUCAUUUAUGGAUGACCCUUUCUCCAGAUCCUUGCUAUGCUCCUGAUCGGGACAGUGUCUUUCCACCUUCGGAUCCGCAGAAAUCGAGGUGACCAGCCACCAAGCAAAGCACUGAUGGUUUCAGAAUGUGCCUAAACCUGCACCAGUGAGGCAAGUAUGCAAAAGGAGUCCCUUUCCGGGAUGGACACAGUUCCCAUAGAGCCGUGUCACCCUGCACAGGGUUGCAACCAGGCUGGUCUCGAAUUCCCAACCUCAGGUGAUCUGCCCGCCUGGGCCUCCCAAAGUGCUGGGAUUACAGGCAUGAGCCACCGCACUCGGCCUCAGACUGGGAUCUGAAAUUAGAGA